UGGGGUGUCGCCAAGCGGUAAGGCAGCGGCUUUUGGUGCCGCCAUUCCCAGGUUCGAAUCCUGGCACCCCAGCCA
RNAcentral lists this transfer RNA (75 nucleotides) under Gammaproteobacteria bacterium. RNAcentral describes it as "tRNA-Gln". It matches the Rfam family "tRNA". Rfam says of the family: Transfer RNA (tRNA) molecules are approximately 80 nucleotides in length. Their secondary structure includes four short double-helical elements and three loops (D, anti-codon, and T loops). The record is from RNAcentral. RNAcentral also lists the same sequence under 1 other name. Lineage: Bacteria; Pseudomonadati; Pseudomonadota; Gammaproteobacteria.